This 427-nucleotide ribosomal RNA is filed under the name uncultured bacterium. RNAcentral's name for it is "bacterial SSU rRNA". It matches the Rfam family "Bacterial small subunit ribosomal RNA", at positions 917 to 1344 of the family's 1533-position model. The record is from RNAcentral.
GGGCCCGCACAAGCGGUGGAGCAUGUGGUUUAAUUCGAUGCAACGCGAAGAACCUUACCUACUCUUGACAUCCAGAGAACUUUUCAGAGAUGAAUUGGUGCCUUCGGGAACUCUGAGACAGGUGCUGCAUGGCUGUCGUCAGCUCGUGUUGUGAAAUGUUGGGUUAAGUCCCGCAACGAGCGCAACCCUUAUCCUUGUUUGCCAGCGAGUAAUGUCGGGAACUCCAGGGAGACUGCCGGUGAUAAGCCGGAGGAAGGUGGGGACGACGUCAAGUCAUCAUGGCCCUUACGAGUAGGGCUACACACGUGCUACAAUGGCGCAUACAGAGGGCAGCCAACUUGCGAGAGUGAGCGAAUCCCAAAACCCCAUCUCAGUUCGGAUUGGAGUCUGCAACUCGACUCCAUGAAGUCGGAAUCGCUAGUAAUCG